Drosophila suzukii is the source of this 705-nucleotide non-coding RNA. NCBI's taxonomy places the organism in Eukaryota, Metazoa, Arthropoda, Insecta, Diptera, Drosophilidae. The record is from RefSeq and is a predicted model, not a curated record.
UAUUCAACCCAUUAACCAACGCCCCAAGAUCACCUUGAAGACUAACUUAGCUUAUUUACAAUUCCCAACUAUUGUUUAAGCUUUUCUUAGCACUUCUAAUGAGAGUAAAGACCCCUAACUACACUGUAAAUAAUAUGGAUUUUGUCAUUACCAAAAACAUUACCUAAUUUAAAUAGGAAGUUAGCCAUCAAAUUGGCCUCUAUUUCUAGACAUUUUACAUGGGACUUUCGAUGACCUUGGCAAGGCUGCAAAAGCUCGAUUUGCGGACUGCAGAAUGAAAGCUUCUGCGCCAUGAAUGAACCGGUUGAGAAGAAGGCCAAAAGCCUACAGAAGGACAGAGCUUCGGGAGAAAGGGAGGGUCUAUCUACAGGUCAAGGAGCCAUCCGAAGGAUGUGUGGGCUGUCAAUUAAAUGUAAACAACAUAUAAAAAUGUCCAAGGAUAAAAUGAAUGAACUAAAAUAUUUCUGUCUUACAAUUUAAUAUAAGUAAUGUGGACCAGAAUAUAUGGCUUGCUAUAGAUAGAGUUUAAAACAUAUAAGUAAUACUUGCAGCAACCAUCCAAUCACAUUCAGUAAAUAGACUUCAGCAGGUUAUGUGACCACAACUCAGCACAAAUUUAAUACGAUUUUGUUAUAAUUUAAUCGUCAAAAGCUGACUUUAUUAACCCUAAUGCGGUAAAUAUAUUUAAUAAACAACUUAAACCGA